This 442-nucleotide ribosomal RNA is filed under the name Henosepilachna biplagiata. RNAcentral describes it as "partial 16S ribosomal RNA". Lineage: Eukaryota; Metazoa; Arthropoda; Insecta; Coleoptera; Coccinellidae. The record is from RNAcentral.
CUCUUUUUGAAUAUAAUUUAAAGUAGGGCCUGCCCACUGAAUUUUGAAGGGCCGCAGUAUCUUGACUGUGCAAAGGUAGCAUAAUCAUUAGUUUUUUAAUUGAAAGCUUGUAUGAAUGGUUUGAUGAAAAAAUUUCUGUUUCAAUUUUAAUUUUUAGAAUUUUAUUUUUAAGUUAAAAAGCUUAAAUUUUAUUUAAAGACGAGAAGACCCUAUAGAGUUCAACUAAACGUUCAGUUUAAAAUUUUAGAAUUUAAGUAUUUAGACCAAAUUUAAGUUUUGUUGGGGUGACAGAAAAAUUUAUUCAACUUUUUUUAUAUUUAAACAUAAAUUAUUGAAUUCUUGAUCCAUUUAUAUGAUUAAAAGAUUAAAUUACCUUAGGGAUAACAGCGUAAUAUUUCUUAAAAGUUCUUAUUUAAAAAAAAGUUUGCGACCUCGAUGUUGG